This 83-nucleotide transfer RNA is filed under the name Schistocephalus solidus. It matches the Rfam family "tRNA". Rfam says of the family: Transfer RNA (tRNA) molecules are approximately 80 nucleotides in length. Lineage: Eukaryota; Metazoa; Platyhelminthes; Cestoda; Diphyllobothriidea; Diphyllobothriidae. The record is from Rfam by way of RNAcentral.
GGCCUCUUAGCUCAGUUGUUUAGAGCGGCGGCUGUACUGAAGCCUUCCCUCUGUUGGUGUGGGAUCGAAUCCCACCGAAGCCG